This 497-nucleotide ribosomal RNA is filed under the name uncultured bacterium. Its description in RNAcentral is "partial 16S ribosomal RNA". It matches the Rfam family "Bacterial small subunit ribosomal RNA", at positions 28 to 507 of the family's 1533-position model. The record is from RNAcentral.
GAUGAACGCUGGCGGCGUGCCUAAUACAUGCAAGUCGAGCGAACGGACGAGAAGCUUGCUUCUCUGAUGUUAGCGGCGGACGGGUGAGUAACACGUGGAUAACCUACCUAUAAGACUGGGAUAACUUCGGGAAACCGGAGCUAAUACCGGAUAAUAUUUUGAACCGCAUGGUUCAAAAGUAAAAGACGGUCUUGCUGUCACUUAUAGAUGGAUCCGCGCUGCAUUAGCUAGUUGGUAAGGUAACGGCUUACCAAGGCAACGAUGCAUAGCCGACCUGAGAGGGUGAUCGGCCACACUGGAACUGAGACACGGUCCAGACUCCUACGGGAGGCAGCAGUAGGGAAUCUUCCGCAAUGGGCGAAAGCCUGACGGAGCAACGCCGCGUGAGUGAUGAAGGCCUUCGGAUCGUAAAACUCUGUUAUUAGGGAAGAACAUAUGUGUAAGUAACUGUGCACAUCUUGACGGUACCUAAUCAGAAAGCCACGGCUAACUACGUG